ACAUUUGAAGUGUAAAUACAUAAAAUAUCCAAUAAAAAAUAGAAAAAGAGAAAGGCUUGUAGAUGUAAAUGUUUUCCAGUUAGUCCUGAAUAAUGUUUAAGUGAUUCAACAAAAAUGCAUGACAGUCUAGCAGGCUAUGUCAACAACAACAACAACAACAACAACAACAUCAUCAACAACAACAACAAAGGAUUGGGCACUAUCUCUGAUGCUCAUCUCUAGGCCACCAUGGUAACAUUACCCAAGAUACCUAUGACUUCAGGCAAGAGGAAGAUUUAACAGUCCCUGUUCUUGUGUUUUCUCAUUUAGGUCUCCUUCUACACUCUCUAACUUUGUGACUUUCCUUCUGCUAUAUAAUAUUGUUUUCUUCCCUAUUCAAUAGGCUGUGAGGAUCUCAGCAGCAGUAAUGGCCUUCCUAACUUAAAUUUCUCACCUGUUUUCUGACAUUUAAUUAUCAGCCAUUGUGUAACAAAAUAACAAAGAGCAAAUUAAAUUGCACUAAAUUUGUUUUAUGUAUGGCAUAAAAAUAAACACAAAUUCAUUAUUAUUCCAACAUGCUCCAUGCCUAUUUGCUCAUUCUUGCUGUUUUCCCCCCAAAGGUAGUAUCUACCAAGCUGUAUGAUGUUAUGCAUAUUUAUUGCAAAGAUUAAGAAAUAAGGCUAUUGUGCGGAGGGGGUGUGGCGGCAGUCCCAAGAUGCUCCGGGACUACAGCUAAGUCUCAUGACUAGCACCUGACUUCCUCACACACCUGAGACUAGCCACGUCCAUUGUGAGAGCUGCGCAGGCGCACCAUGACGCAAGAUCAGGCCAUGUGACGUGGACCUAUGAACUGAGAUUACACAGUCUGGACUGAGGAGGCGGAGUUGAGGGAGGAUGUAAGGGAGUGUGCUGGGGGCUGAGGAGGAGAAAAAAGAAAGGAAAGAUUCCUGCUUGCAUGCUGUAAGGUUCCUGAAUAAACUGCUUUGAGAAGAA
Molecule: long non-coding RNA, 972 nt
Organism: Rattus norvegicus (Norway rat)
Lineage: Eukaryota; Metazoa; Chordata; Mammalia; Rodentia; Muridae
Source: RefSeq, a predicted model, not a curated record